Molecule: long non-coding RNA, 1071 nt
Filed under: Phascolarctos cinereus (koala)
Lineage: Eukaryota; Metazoa; Chordata; Mammalia; Diprotodontia; Phascolarctidae
Description: lncRNA (ENSPCIG00000036861.1)
Source: RNAcentral
CCAUCCCCGUCCCUAGUCCCCCGUCCCCAGUCCCCUGUCCCCCGCGGCCCCCUCCCCCUCCCUGCCCCCGCGGAUCCUCGGCUGCUGCCCCGCCGGGUGGCUUACUGGCCUGGGCCGGGCCGGGCUGGGCCGGGAUCUGGCCCGCCUGGGAGGUGGGCACUGGGCGGCGCUCCGCCUCCACUCCCCCGCGGGGACUGCCCGAGGAGGAGCACGGUUGGGCCGGGGCCGCCGGCCGAAGCCCAGCGCCGCAGCACCCGCCGCGACAGCGCAGCGAGCAGCCAAGGAGCACGCCGAAGGGGGCCGGGCCCCGGAGAGCGGCGCGGCGCCCCCGCUUCCCAGCUCCACUCCUUUCUUCCUCUCCUCCUCCUCUCCCCCACCCCUCCUCCUCCUCCUCCUCCUUCCCUAGCCCCGCCGCCCCCUCCUCGGCCCACAGGGCUGCUGCUGGUCUCCGUCCCGGGUGCCCACCCGGUGGAUGGCACUGGGGCUCGCAGCACCUCAAGUUGCCACGUUUUUGGGUGCGCCGGGAGGCUCCCCCCCCCCGGAGGCCUGCCGGCCCCCGCCCUCCUCCCUCCGCCCUCUCCUAGUCCCCGGGACCCCGCCGCUCAAUUGUUUGAAACUUCCCCGCCCCUUGGCCCCUCCUCCUUCCCUCCUCUCCGCCCCCUUUCCUCCCUCCCCUUCGUCCCCUCUCCUCUCUCCCCUUCCCCUCUCCGCCCCCCACCCUCCACCCCACCGAGCGGCCGAUCGGGCCGGACUGGGUCCCUUCUCUCCCCUCCCCCUCCUCCCCCUCCCGCCUCUCCUCCUCCUGCCCCCUGCCGCCCCCUGCCCCACCCCCCUGCCCGGGGGCGGGCCGAGCCGUUCCCCACCAGAAGAAUAAUAGCCAGACACCCAGUGGUCCUCAGUCUCUCCCUACCUUCGGUCUGCCUGGGUGUCCGCCUCUUCGUCCGUCUGUGGCUCGGUCCGCUCCGUCAGUGCCUUUGCUUGGCUACAGCCGCCCUCGGAGCAGGCACACUCCUUCCCUCUCCGAAGGGCUGGGGUAGUCCCUGCAUCUCCGGCCGCUGCAGCCUGCACUGA